UACGGAGGGGGCUAGCGUUGUUCGGAAUUACUGGGCGUAAAGCGCACGUAGGCGGCUUUGUAAGUUAGAGGUGAAAGCCCAGGGCUUAACCCUGGAAUUGCCUUUAAGACUGCAUCGCUAGAAUCGUGGAGAGGUGAGUGGAAUUCCCAGUGUAGAGGUGAAAUUCGUAGAUAUUGGGAAGAACACCAGUGGCGAAGGCGGCUCACUGGCCCGUAACUGACGCUGAGGUGCGAAAGCGUGGGGAGCAAACAGG
Molecule: ribosomal RNA, 253 nt
Filed under: uncultured bacterium
Lineage: Bacteria
Description: partial 16S ribosomal RNA
Rfam family: Bacterial small subunit ribosomal RNA
Source: RNAcentral